GCUAGUGUAGCAAAACCCGGUAUUGCAAAAGGCCUAAGCCCUUUGUACAGAGGUUCAACCCCUCUCGCUAGCU
Molecule: transfer RNA, 73 nt
Filed under: Stefania scalae
Lineage: Eukaryota; Metazoa; Chordata; Amphibia; Anura; Hemiphractidae
Description: tRNA-Leu
Rfam family: tRNA
About the family: Transfer RNA (tRNA) molecules are approximately 80 nucleotides in length. Their secondary structure includes four short double-helical elements and three loops (D, anti-codon, and T loops). Further hydrogen bonds mediate the characteristic L-shaped molecular structure. tRNAs have two regions of fundamental functional importance: the anti-codon, which is responsible for specific mRNA codon recognition, and the 3' end, to which the tRNAs corresponding amino acid is attached (by aminoacyl-tRNA synthetases). tRNAs cope with the degeneracy of the genetic code in two manners: having more than one tRNA (with a specific anti-codon) for a particular amino acid; and 'wobble' base-pairing, i.e. permitting non-standard base-pairing at the 3rd anti-codon position.
Source: RNAcentral